GGCCUUAUGGUCUAGUCGUAUGAUUCUCCCUUUGGGUAUCGGGUCCACAACACUCGAUUCCAUGCUUGGGAGAGGUCUCGGGUUCAAUUCCCGAUGAGGCCC
This is a non-coding RNA of Puccinia sorghi, 102 nucleotides long. NCBI's taxonomy places the organism in Eukaryota, Fungi, Basidiomycota, Pucciniomycetes, Pucciniales, Pucciniaceae. The record is from the annotation of a GenBank genome assembly.